RNAcentral lists this ribosomal RNA (540 nucleotides) under uncultured bacterium. Its description in RNAcentral is "partial 16S ribosomal RNA". It matches the Rfam family "Bacterial small subunit ribosomal RNA", at positions 355 to 885 of the family's 1533-position model. The record is from RNAcentral.
UGGGGAAUUUUGGACAAUGGGGGAAACCCUGAUCCAGCCAUCCCGCGUGUGCGAUGAAGGCCUUCGGGUUGUAAAGCACUUUUGGCAGGAAAGAAACGUCGCGGGUUAAUACCCCGCGAAACUGACGGUACCUGCAGAAUAAGCACCGGCUAACUACGUGCCAGCAGCCGCGGUAAUACGUAGGGUGCAAGCGUUAAUCGGAAUUACUGGGCGUAAAGCGUGCGCAGGCGGUUCGGAAAGAAAGAUGUGAAAUCCCAGAGCUUAACUUUGGAACUGCAUUUUUAACUACCGGGCUAGAGUGUGUCAGAGGGAGGUGGAAUUCCGCGUGUAGCAGUGAAAUGCGUAGAUAUGCGGAGGAACACCGAUGGCGAAGGCAGCCUCCUGGGAUAACACUGACGCUCAUGCACGAAAGCGUGGGGAGCAAACAGGAUUAGAUACCCUGGUAGUCCACGCCCUAAACGAUGUCAACUCAGCUGUUGGGGCCUACGGGCCUUGGUAGGCGCAGGCUAACGCGUGAAGUUGACCGCCUGGGGAGUACGG